RNAcentral lists this ribosomal RNA (358 nucleotides) under uncultured Pelotomaculum sp. RNAcentral's name for it is "bacterial SSU rRNA". It matches the Rfam family "Bacterial small subunit ribosomal RNA", at positions 1026 to 1382 of the family's 1533-position model. Lineage: Bacteria; Bacillati; Bacillota; Clostridia; Eubacteriales; Desulfotomaculaceae. The record is from RNAcentral.
ACAGGGAGACAGGUGGUGCAUGGUGUCGUCAGCUCGUGUCGUGAGAUGUUGGGUUAAGUCCCGCAACGAGCGCAACCCCUACGUUUAGUUGCUAACGCGUGAAGGCGAGCACUCUAGACGAACUGCCGUUGACAAAACGGAGGAAGGUGGGGAAUGGACGUCAAUCAUCAUGCCCCUUAUGUUCUGGGCUACACACGUGCUACAAUGGCCGGUACAGACGGACGCAAAGCCGCGAGGUGGAGCAAAUCCUAAAAAGCCGGUCUCAGUUCGGAUUGCAGGCUGCAAUUCGCCUGCAUGAAGUCGGAAUCGCUAGUAAUCGCAGGUCAGCAUACUGCGGUCGAAUACGUUCCCGGGCCUU